RNAcentral lists this long non-coding RNA (332 nucleotides) under Dermacentor andersoni. RNAcentral describes it as "uncharacterized LOC126516672". The record is from RNAcentral. Lineage: Eukaryota; Metazoa; Arthropoda; Arachnida; Ixodida; Ixodidae.
UGGAGGGAGCAGCCACACAAAAGCUACCGAACUGAGCACCUUGACAGAGGUGGUGAGCCACUUCUUCGGUGGCAAUGGGCCACUUAACUGCAAAUAUGCUUCAGAGAGGCAUCGAAUGAUUAACGAAAAGGCAGCAUAAUCAAAGCAGACCAAAGCAGUACCUGGCUUUGCAGUUUCUCCACGAGAGAAGCAUCCAUAUCUGGAUUCGAUUGGAGCGUUGUGUUGGCGGAGUGCUUGAGCAGGACGAGUUUCUGGAAUGAGUGCACCCUUUCCGAGCCAGCGAGGUCAACCAGAUGGAAUUUCGCCACCAUUAUGGCACCACCACUGGACUU